UACGUAGGGUCCAAGCGUUAUCCGGAAUCACUGGGCGUAAAGCGUCCGCAGCCGGCGCGUUAAGUGAGGUGUUAAAUCGUGUGGCUCAACCAUAUCGAUGCAUCUCAUACUGGCGUGCUAGAGGGAAGCAGAGGCAAGUGGAAUUACGAGUGUAGCAGUGAAAUGCGUAGAUAUUCGUAGGAACACCAAUGGCGAAGGCAGCUUGCUGGGCUUCUUCUGACGGUCAUGGACGAAAGCGUGGGGAGCGAACAGG
RNAcentral lists this ribosomal RNA (253 nucleotides) under uncultured bacterium. Its description in RNAcentral is "partial 16S ribosomal RNA". It matches the Rfam family "Bacterial small subunit ribosomal RNA", at positions 524 to 776 of the family's 1533-position model. The record is from RNAcentral.